AUAAAUUAUUGAUAGAAUAUUAGCCCUAAUUUUUUAUGGAGAAACGAAGAGAGCCCUAGUUUAUGAUCAAUUCCACGGGCGAGAGAACCUGACGCCGGUGGCGAGCAAGCCCUGGCUUAAGAAGCUUCGCCGCUAGCUGCCUCAAUCCCGCACGCGAGAGGAUCUGAUGCCAUCCACUUUGCAUUGCUUGCCAACAUCGGAACUCCACCACCUUAUCACCCGCCCCCCAACUCCGACUGAAUUCAGCUGGAGAACUCCUUCCUGAUAACCUUUUGGAGUAUGGCAUCCGUGGCUGAAUCAAUAGAUGCAGUUGCUUCAUCCAGAACUAAAAUUUUGUUUUUACGAAGGACAACUCUGCCGAGACAGAAGAGCUGGCGCUGCCCAAUGCUCCAAUUUUCACCAUCAUCGCUCACUUUAAAAACCAAGAUACUGAGGAACCCAAGUCAAAGCUCUCUCCUGAACACAUCGAAGGGAACCAUCCUGCAACUCAAAUUCAAGUGAAGAUUCACAUUAAAUGCCAGAGUAAAUACAACAAGCUCAAAAAGGUGAUGGUGAUCAAAAACAGAAUAAAUUAAAUGAAGAAUAUCAAACUUUUAUUGAAACUAUUAUCAUGAACUUAUACCAGGGUAAGAAAAAGUGAAAACUGUAGAAGAGAAGGAGAAGAAACUGCCACCCUGAAAGCUCCAAAGAGCAGCCAUUUUUUUUUUUCCUCUGGUGAUGCCUUCCCUAUUUUGCUUGCCAAGUCUAAGUUGGUCUCUUGCAGUUCCUUGCUCAAAGGCUCUUCAAAAAAGCUAGAGAAACAGCAAUGGUUACAAAUGAGUAAGCCAAAGAUAACUCCUUGCGAUUUAUAUUGUUCCUUUUCAGUCUUCCAUUCCUUAAUUUUGUCUCUUCAAGUUCACCUAAUACUAUGCUUCAAAGACGAGUACAUUAUGUGAUUAUGAUAAUUUAAUUCAGAUAGAUGCCAAAGGAAUUCUAUGA
Long non-coding RNA from Dendrobium catenatum, 978 nucleotides. RefSeq lists it as uncharacterized. The record is from RefSeq and is a predicted model, not a curated record. NCBI's taxonomy places the organism in Eukaryota, Viridiplantae, Streptophyta, Magnoliopsida, Asparagales, Orchidaceae. The transcript has 3 exons.